GCAAGAAUGAUGCAACACAACUAAAAAACUAAUAAUAGCCAAGAAAGGUUAUACAACAACUUUUCAGUCUGUUCUUAGUUCUUUCUUCCAACAAACAACGAUUACAAACUCCAAGUUCAUAAACAUACAUCAGAGUUGAGAGUUGAUUCUCCUGUCAUAAUGCUUUGUCUCUACAAAAUUAAUUACUGUUAGCUUAAUAUGGUUUUAGGAAGCCAAUAAGCAUGAGACAUGGAAGAUCACACAUACAAAACAUACAUCCCUUGAAGGGAAUAAAAUACUAGCAUCACUUGGAUGUAGUGGCGUUCAGAUCGCUUUGGUCUUCAUGGCGGAGACUGUUCUCUCGACUGUAAGCUGCCUUGGCACCCUGAGAUCAGUGAACAGUUUAACAUAUCAAACCAAAAGGAAGGAAAUGCAUGACGGUUCAUGAUUUUGUAUACAAAUAACAAAGGCANUAUAAAAUUAUAAUUUUAAUGAUGAAAAAUCACUCGAUCUUAAUAUCUUGAAUUCUUGCACAAUUAAAGUAUUUCUUGAACAAUUAAAUUAGUUCAGAGGAAAAUAAAUGCAACUAUGUAAAGUUCUUGCAUUUGUACAAACUUAGAAUAGCAAAAUGAAAAGGCAAGAAUGAUGCAACACAACUAAAAAACUAAUAAUAGCCAAGAAAGGUUAUACAACAACUUUUCAGUCUGUUCUUAGUUCUUUCUUCCAACAAACAACGAUUACAAACUCCAAGUUCAUAAACAUACAUCAGAGUUGAGAGUUGAUUCUCCUGUCAUAAUGCUUUGUCUCUACAAAAUUAAUUACUGUUAGCUUAAUAUGGUUUUAGGAAGCCAAUAAGCAUGAGACAUGGAAGAUCACACAUACAAAACAUACAUCCC
Molecule: long non-coding RNA, 875 nt
Filed under: Daucus carota (carrot)
Lineage: Eukaryota; Viridiplantae; Streptophyta; Magnoliopsida; Apiales; Apiaceae
Description: long non-coding RNA (DCAR_LNC000697)
Source: RNAcentral